RNAcentral lists this ribosomal RNA (301 nucleotides) under uncultured bacterium. RNAcentral's name for it is "partial 16S ribosomal RNA". It matches the Rfam family "Bacterial small subunit ribosomal RNA", at positions 509 to 807 of the family's 1533-position model. The record is from RNAcentral.
CAGCCGCCACGGGAAUACGAAGGGGGCUAGCGUUGUUCGGAUUUACUGGGCGUAAAGCGCACGUAGGCGGACUUUUAAGUCAGGGGUGAAAUCCCGGGGCUCAACCCCGGAACUGCCUUUGAUACUGGAAGUCUUGAGUAUGGUAGAGGUGAGUGGAAUUCCGAGUGUAGAGGUGAAAUUCGUAGAUAUUCGGAGGAACACCAGUGGCGAAGGCGGCUCACUGGACCAUUACUGACGCUGAGGUGCGAAAGCGUGGGGAGCAAACAGGAUUAGAGACCCCCGUAGUCCCUGUCUCUUAUAC